Molecule: ribosomal RNA, 483 nt
Filed under: uncultured bacterium
Lineage: Bacteria
Description: bacterial SSU rRNA
Rfam family: Bacterial small subunit ribosomal RNA
Source: RNAcentral
GACGAACGCUGGCGGCGUGCCUAACACAUGCAAGUCGAACGGAGAACAGAAGGAUUGAGACUUCGGUUGAUUGAUAUCUGUUCUUAGUGGCGGACGGGCGAGUAACGCGUGAGUAACCUGCCUUUCAGAGGGGGACAACAGUUGGAAACGACUGCUAAUACCGCAUAACGUCAUUUUGGGGCAUCCCUUAAUGACCAAAGAUUUUAUCGCUGAAAGAUGGACUCGCGUCCGAUUAGAUAGUUGGUGAGGUAACGGCUCACCAAGUCGACGAUCGGUAGCCGAACUGAGAGGUUGAUCGGCCGCAUUGGGACUGAGACACGGCCCAGACUCCUACGGGAGGCAGCAGUGGGGGAUAUUGCACAAUGGAGGAAACUCUGAUGCAGCAACGCCGCGUGAGGGAAGACGGUCUUCGGAUUGUAAAACCUAAGUUAUCAGGGACGAUUAUGACGGUACCUGAAGAGAAAGCUCCGGCUAAACUACGUG